This is a non-coding RNA of Schistosoma margrebowiei, 42 nucleotides long. The record is from Rfam. Lineage: Eukaryota; Metazoa; Platyhelminthes; Trematoda; Strigeidida; Schistosomatidae.
UGCUGAGGAGUCCCAUACUAGGACGAAACGGCCGUCCAGUGC